CUACGGGCCGCACCAGUCGAGAAUCAUUCGCAAUGCACGAAAGUGUGACGAUGCGACGCCGCGUGGAGGAUGACGGCCUUCGGGUUGUAAACUCCUGUCAGCAGGGAGCAACGCUUUGUCGGGUAAUACCUGAUGAAUUUGACAGUACCUGCAGAGGAAGUCACGGCUAACUCUGUGCCAGCAGCCGCGGUAAUACAGAGGUGGCAAGCGUUAAUCGGAAUUACUGGGCGUAAAGGGUCCGUAGGCGGCCUGGUGUGUCGGGUGUGAAAUGCCACAGCUCAACUGUGGAAUGGCACUCGAAACUGCCGGGCUAGAGUUCUGGAGGGGAGAAGGGAACAGUUAGUGUAGCGGUGAAAUGCGUAGAUAUUAACUGGAACACCGGUGGCGAAGGCGCUUCUCUGGACAGAUACUGACGCUCAUGGACGAAAGCUAAGGGAGCGAAAGGGAUUAGAUACCCUCGUAGUC
This 465-nucleotide ribosomal RNA is filed under the name uncultured bacterium. Its description in RNAcentral is "partial 16S ribosomal RNA". It matches the Rfam family "Bacterial small subunit ribosomal RNA", at positions 339 to 795 of the family's 1533-position model. The record is from RNAcentral.